Molecule: ribosomal RNA, 206 nt
Filed under: uncultured bacterium
Lineage: Bacteria
Description: partial 16S ribosomal RNA
Rfam family: Bacterial small subunit ribosomal RNA
Source: RNAcentral
AGAUUGUAGGCUGAAACUCGCCUAUAUGAAGUCGGAAUUGCUAGUAAUCGCAGAUCAGCAUGCUGCGGUGAAUACGUUCCCGGGCCUUGUACACACCGCCCGUCACACCAUGAGAGUCGAUAACACCCGAAGCCUGUAGUCUAACCAUAAGGAGGACGCAGUCGAAGGUGGGAUUGAUAAUUAGGGUGAAGUCGUAACAAGGUACC